RNAcentral lists this long non-coding RNA (5318 nucleotides) under Sus scrofa (pig). Its description in RNAcentral is "lncRNA (ENSSSCG00000053528.1)". Lineage: Eukaryota; Metazoa; Chordata; Mammalia; Artiodactyla; Suidae. The record is from RNAcentral.
CACACAGAAGGUUUCAAUAGGUUAUGAGAAGUUACAUGAACAGUUUCUUCAGGAUAAGACUUAAGGGAAAUAUAAUUGCCAGUUUGUUUCUGUUUUUCAAGGACAUGGUCCAUUUCAUUUAGGUUAUCAAAUUUGUGGGCAUUACUUCUGAAAAAAAAUUCAUGGACUACCCCCAAGGUUCUACAAAAUAUUUAUUGAAGUUAAGUCUUUAUAGCUGAGUAAAAUGAAGUGCAAUAUGAUGCCUACAGUAACAGUGUAAUUCUUAGUUAAUUAAUCUGAAGACUAAGGUUUUUGCUCAAUUAUUCUAAAUUAAAUUGAGCCAUUUCUACACUCCUCUCUGGAGCACUUAACUAUCAUCAAGCACUGCUCUAGGCACCAUGCAUUCCAAGGCACGGUGGACUUAAGGAGUUCACUUAAGGAGUUCAUGAUACAGUGAUAGUAGUUCAUAAUCUACUCCAAUUUAGUCAACAGUAGUAUCUACAAAGAACUCUGGUGUGUUUGACAAUUGCGCUACACAAAUGAUUCAGAUGCUUUCCAGGAGAAUAAAAUAAUAGACACUGCCUGAGAUGGAACAUAAAGGCAAGAAGAGAUAUUGUUUGAACUGGGUCUUGAUUAAGGAGUAAGAGUUUGCUGCAUAAAGAAAAGUUGGAGGCAGGGAGUGGGGCAAGUGGGUAGGGAUAUUCUACCCAAGGAAACAGACUAAACAAAAGAACACAUACUUACAAAUAUAUCCUUAUACACACAUUCAUAUAUGUUCACCUUUGCUUGACUUUCAGCAUAUUUCAGAGUUUUGAAUCGAGAAUAAGAAGAAAUGUGUUCUCAUCCAAGCUCUGCUAGGAUCUAUUGUAUGACCUGAGCAAGACAUUUAAAGUAUCUGGAUCUAAGUUAUUCCAUUUGUAAAAUGAAAGGGCUAGAUUUCAUGCUGGUUAUUGCCCCCAUCCAGUAGGGAAAAAAAGGGAGGUAUAACUAAACUUAUUUGAUCUAAAUUCAUGAUUUAGGGGAUAUAAGAAUAGUUUGUAAGAAAUGAUCUAAGCUAGCCUACUUUAGUUUCAUAUUAAAAUAAAACAUUUUAGAUUCUCAUCAAUAGGAAAAAAUUGAAAAUUAGAUAUCUUUGUUUUGAAUUGCUUUACUAUUUGAUAAUGCAGAAAUCUUAGACUAUAUAUUUGACAUUUUUCUUUUAAAAUUAAGGUCUUUUUUCCUCAAAGUUCAGGUAAGAAAAGGCACUGCUAAGAGUUGGGAAGUUGACACUUAGUACAUUAUAACACUCUUGUCUGGCUCUGCCUAGGCAAGUGGAGAUGAUAAAGAAUCAGUGUUGUACACAGCCCCAAGUUCCAGGUGACAGAAAGAAUUGAAUGGCUAGAAAUACGGUGAGGAUGUACCAGAUCUCAUGCUCAUAUCUGAAUAUCUGUAGGAUUUGCAUUUGUCAAAUAUGAAAACUUGAGCUCAGAAGCCAUGUAUAAUACCAAAGAUAGCACCAGACAUAUUAUCCUUCCUUCUGUAAAUAUCUUUCUAAGACUUGGAUCUCAAGGUAUUGAUCUUUCGUUCUCUGGUACCUCAUUUGCCCCAUCUGGAGGCAACUGAGCACAACUGAGAUGCAGACCUUAAACUUAAAUUGUGGCAAUCAUAUAGUUAGGUUUUAGAGGAAUUAAUAAUGAAUUACUAGACAAAAAUCUAACUGGUUAAGUCACCAGCUGUCCAGUUUGGGAUAUAUUUGUGUUGGACAUAUUUUUGCAUGUGUGCCUCUAUGUGUGUGUGGGUGUUUAAUAUUCCACAGCUUUUCAAAUUGGAUUUAAAAUGUUUCUUGAAGAAAAAUGAUAAUUUAGUGCUGAUUACCAAAGGUAAUUUUUUUCAUUCUUGAAAUGCUUGAAUAACAUCAGAAUCUCAAACCAUAUUUGAACAUUGGAAUAACUAUUAUAAAAUGGCAUUUUAGGGAAUAGAUUCCAUUUCAGUUGUUUACAAGAAAAGACAUCAAACAUGUAUUUAAGCCAUUCCCUUCACAAAGGUCCAUCAUCUGCUAAUGAUGAAGUUAGGGCCUGUGAUGUUAGAAUUUCUCUGGGGAACAUGGAAGUCCCGUUAUACAUGUAGCAAUCAUCUCUCUAUUCAUCUGUUGAUGAAUCUUUCUAAUCAUAUGUUGAAUUAGUGGCAGGCCUAAUGGAACUCUGGAUCAGACAGAAAGGAACAUUUGGAGAGGAGACCACCCCUCUCCUUCAGGGUAUUUAUCACCUCACUGCAUAUAUGGGAACGUCCUACACUUUGUCUACCCUGAGUUCUCUUUAUCCUUUGAUAUUGAUCCAAACCACUUAGCAAUGAAUACAGGCAGCACUCUCCUUCUAUUUAAAGCUCUUGAGUAGCUAUUAUUAUUUUUAUGUUUAUAAUCUUAAUACCUGCCAUUUGUAAUAUUUUUCUUUUGAAGAGCUCUCUGGAGUGCAGUGGGGUGUCUAGUGAAGACAAAUGAAUGUGAAAGCACUUUAUGCUCAACAGAUGAAAAGAGAGUCCUCUGGAUCUUGUGUUUUCCAGGAACAACUUGCCUUGCUCUUCCUUGUGGUCUUGCCCCAAUAUGGCAAACCUUACCCAAGAUGCAGCUCUUAGACUCUGCUCUUCCUUUUCUUCUCUCACAUGCAUAAACACAUAUUUCAAUUCUCACCUUUGUCCUAAUCACACCCCAAUAUGAGUUUCACUACUGGAUCCUUUAUUAAAGCCCUGCUCCAUAUUUAUAACUAUCUUUUGUAAAUUUCCUCUUUAAUAUUUAAACAAAUCUAGCAUUCCCAACAUAAAGCUCAUUAUUUAUUUAUCAUUAGAAAGACUAUUCUAUAACUUUAUUUGAUAUUCGAAAUGCAUUUUGAAAGUACAGAUUUUUUUAAUGGCCUGGCCCCAGUUAGAAAUAGAUCAGAAUAAAGAAAGAUAUAAGAUCAAGGGCAAAGAGUUGUGAUGAAUGAUCAAGUUCAGUGAGGACAGAAUAUGCUGGCAUAUUUCAGACUCUCUAAGAAUUUGAAGAUGAGAUCUAGUGUUAACCAGUUAAAAAUAGGGUUAAAAUUAAUAGAAAUUUAAAACAAUCAAGCUUUAGUGAAUAAGGUGCACUUUGGCCCAGGUGUUACAUAUAUUUUUAUUUAUGUUCUAAAGUGCAUAUCACAUUUUUAGAGUGGACAUUAGAGGAUAAUUAAUACUGUUUUAUUUAUGAGUAAUUAUAAAUACGAGCAUUACCACCAAAAGGAUAAUAUGGUUUCCUUUUGGAAUGUUUCCUUACUUAAUUAUGCACAUCUGGGAAAGUCUGAUUGAGCUGAUGCAGCCAAAUCCAUUAAGGCGAACACUCCCUUUAGCAGCAGUAGCUAAGUGGCAGGCCUGAUGAUUAGGAGGGUUUAGUGCCCCCGCCCACCCUUGUCCCCAGCACAUUCCACUCUGGUUUUUCAACUCCGUGAUCUCUAUCAAUCAUGGUUUCCAGAAACUCAGGCAGAUUUUAUAGGUCUCAUCUCUAACCUCUCAUCUAUUUCAUAUAUCCAAUUACUCAACAACUCUUUUUGACUCUUUCUUUAUAUCUCUUAUAUUCAUCCUUCUCCACCCUCAUGGAAAGAUCAUAACCUCUCAAGCUCGAGUUACUGAGACAUCUGACUGGGCCCUCCAUUUUAUACAGCUGCUACACCAAAUACCACCUUCAAAAACUUGCCCCCCAAAAUAAAACACUCCUAUUUUACUAAUGCAUUGAGUUUAAAUUUCCCCUUUCUUGUUUUUCAAGAUCUUUAUAAUCCAGCUCUUCCCUCCUCAUCUAAGUGAGUUUCCUACUACUCCCCAGCAUGGAUCCUCUCUGGUUGGAGGCACUUUCUUCCCUGCCCCAUUGCUUUGUUCCAUAAUGUUGGCUCCUAACUUGGCAUUUAUCCUUUAAUGGCCUUCCUGAACUUAACCCUACACUCAUUUCCAGCUGUUAACAUCCGAAAUAUCUUUAAGGGCUCCCAUCCCCAAAUCUUCUUCUCUUUUAGGACACAGCUCAAUUACCAUCCGUUUCAGAAAUCCUUCAUUCCAGUCUGAAUUAUGUGGGUUCCUUUAUGCAGACAUUGUACCACAGGAGUACUUGCACAUUUCUUACUUAUUGUUAUUGCUUAGCUGUUUGUAACUCUUUCCAGCCUGUUCACUCUUUGAAAGCAGGAAUUUUACCCUUUGCUUCUUCGUGACCUUAGUGCAUAGUAUUCUUGGCUGAAACAUAGAAGGUUGAAGUGAUCUCCUUAUAUUUGAACUUUGCAUUUAUGGCACUUUUCUGAAAAUUUCAGACUUAAUUAUAUACCACUUUUGAGUCAUUCAAAUAUCCAUUUGUUGUUGUUUUCCCAACAAGGUUGAAAAUUUCUUGUUACAGAAGGAUCUUAUCAUGGUGACCAUGCUGAAUGGUUCCCACAGAUCUUUCAGAGGACGCAGUUACAUGGUAGGAAAUCAGUAAAUUCUUAUUUAAUUAAGUAAGCAAAUGCUAUUACUGAUAAUAUUACAAACCAAAAAUAAUGUAACCCAAAUUGGUAGAGAAGCAAAGAAGUUGUGAAUUAUUACGCAGUAUCAUUCCUUAAAAGCAAGGUGAUCAUUUUUGUCCCAAGGAAAAUUUUACUCAAUUGCUAUAUACAUUAAAACAAGUAGCAGCAUUAGAUUGUAUCAUACCAGCUAAUGAAUAUAAAUGUUCUAUUUUAAGAGAUAAUUGAUUACUUUACAAGUUUCUGAUUAUUUCCUUAUACAUUUUCUUCUCUCAUUGCCUAUGUUGGCUCACAUUUCCUCUUGUUCACUUAGGGUUAUCAUAAUCCAAAUCUUUACAUCUGCUUAUCAUUUUCUCUACCCUCCUACCUAUCAAAACUGCAUGGCCCUUAUUUCCAAGCUAGGUAUUUCCUCAAUCAAAGCUCUACCUGUAACCUAUUUUUCCCAAAACAGCGAAUAUUACUGGUAUCAGCUCAUUAUCUUUGCUUCCAAACAUCAAAAAAGGCGUCUAUAGACACUUACCAACCUGAUUCUAUCCUAAAAUCAAUACUCUGUCAUGCUUUCUUGCAGUAGAAAAAUAGAACACUACUGGAAAUAAAAAGAUUCUAAUUUUAAUUUUGCUAUUGAAAAAAAAAUUGGGAGUUCCCGUCGUGGAGCAACAGAAACAAAUCCGACUAGAAACCAUGAGGCAGCAGGUUCCAUCCCUGGCCUCGUUCAGUGGGUUAAGGAUCUGGCGUUGCUAUGAGCUGUGGUGUAGGUCGCAGAAGUGGCUCAGAUACUGCAUUUCUGUGGCUGUGGUGUAGGCCAGUGGCUACAGCUCCAAUUAGACCCCUAGCCUAGGAACUUCCAUAUGCCACAGGUGCAGCCCUAAAAAG